CACCUCUAGCAUUACCAGUAUUAGAGGCACUGCCUACCCAGUGACUUAUGUUCAAUGGCCACAGUAUCCUGAGAGUGAAAAGGUAGCAAAAUCACUUGUUCUCUAAAUAGGGACUUGUAUGAAUGGCUACACGAGGGUUCAGCUGUCUUACUUUUAAUCAGUGAAACUGACCUAUCCGUGAAGAGGCAGCUAUAAACAAAUAAAAGGAGAAGACCCUAUGGAGCUUUAAUUCAUUAAUGCAAAUAAAAACUCAAACAAGCCUACAGGCCCUAGACUACCAUUCUUGCAUUACAAAUUUUGGUUGGGGUGACCUCGGAGCAUAAUUCAACCUCCAAACAACCUAAACUAAGACUGCACUAGCCUAAGCGAGUUAAAACACACUGACCCAAUGAUUCGAUCAACAGAAUAAGUUACUCUAGGGAUAACAGCACAAUCCUAUUCUAGAGUUCAUAUCGACAAUAGGGUUUACGAUCUCGAUGUUGGAUCAGGACAUCCAAACGGUGUAGCCACUAUUAAGGGUUUGUUUGUUCAACAAUUAAAGUCCU
This 545-nucleotide ribosomal RNA is filed under the name Macaca mulatta (Rhesus monkey). RNAcentral describes it as "partial large subunit ribosomal RNA". It matches the Rfam family "Bacterial large subunit ribosomal RNA", at positions 1816 to 2597 of the family's 2925-position model. Lineage: Eukaryota; Metazoa; Chordata; Mammalia; Primates; Cercopithecidae. The record is from RNAcentral.